GACGAACCGUGCGAACGUUGUUCGGAAUCACUGGGCUUAAAGGGCGCGUAGGCGGGCUUACAAGUCAGGGGUGAAAUCCCACGGCUCAACCGUGGAAGUGCCUUUGAUACUGUAGGUCUCGAGGGAGGUAGGGGCGAGCGGAACUUCCGGUGGAGCGGUGAAAUGCGUAGAUAUUGGAAGGAACACCGAUGGCGAAAGCAGCUCGCUGGACCUCUUCUGACGCUGAGGCGCGAAAGCCAGGGGAGCAAACGGG
RNAcentral lists this ribosomal RNA (253 nucleotides) under uncultured bacterium. Its description in RNAcentral is "partial 16S ribosomal RNA". It matches the Rfam family "Bacterial small subunit ribosomal RNA", at positions 524 to 776 of the family's 1533-position model. The record is from RNAcentral.